This 301-nucleotide ribosomal RNA is filed under the name uncultured bacterium. Its description in RNAcentral is "partial 16S ribosomal RNA". It matches the Rfam family "Bacterial small subunit ribosomal RNA", at positions 509 to 807 of the family's 1533-position model. The record is from RNAcentral.
CAGCAGCCGCGGGAAUACGAAGGGUGCAAGCGUUAAUCGGAAUUACUGGGCGUAAAGCGUGCGUAGGCGGUUUGUUAAGUCUGUUGUGAAAUCCCCGGGCUCAACCUGGGAAUGGCAAUGGAUACUGGCAAGCUAGAGUGUGUCAGAGGAUGGCGGAAUUCCCGGUGUAGCGGUGAAAUGCGUAGAGAUCGGGAGGAACAUCAGUGGCGAAGGCGGCCAUCUGGGACAACACUGACGCUGAGGCACGAAAGCGUGGGGAGCAAACAGGAUUAGAUACCCCAGUAGUCCCUGUCUCUUAUAC